UUAAGUUCAGCGGGUAGUCCUACCUGAUUUGAGGUCAAGUUUGUCAAAGAGCGGCGUUGGAAGCAGCAACAUUUAUGCGGCAUACCCAAAGGCAUAGAUGAAUGUUAUCAACACCUAGCGGUUUCCGCUCCAGAUACCACUGAUGAUUUUCAAGGGAGCAGGUUUUCUGAUCAAAAGCCUGCAAAAAGCCCUCAAGUCCA
Molecule: unclassified non-coding RNA, 200 nt
Filed under: Inocybe sp.
Lineage: Eukaryota; Fungi; Basidiomycota; Agaricomycetes; Agaricales; Inocybaceae
Description: partial internal transcribed spacer 2
Source: RNAcentral